RNAcentral lists this ribosomal RNA (468 nucleotides) under uncultured bacterium. RNAcentral's name for it is "partial 16S ribosomal RNA". It matches the Rfam family "Bacterial small subunit ribosomal RNA", at positions 28 to 507 of the family's 1533-position model. The record is from RNAcentral.
GACGAACGCUGGCGGCGUGCUUAACACAUGCAAGUCGAACGGAAAGGCCCUGCUUUUGUGGGGUGCUCGAGUGGCGAACGGGUGAGUAACACGUGAGUAACCUGCCCUUGACUUUGGGAUAACUUCAGGAAACUGGGGCUAAUACCGGAUAGGAGCUCCUGCUGCAUGGUGGGGGUUGGAAAGUUUCGGCGGUUUGGGAUGGACUCGCGGCUUAUCAGCUUGUUGGUGGGGUAGUGGCUUACCAAGGCUUUGACGGGUAGCCGGCCUGAGAGGGUGACCGGCCACAUUGGGACUGAGGUACGGCCCAGACUCCUACGGGAGGCAGCAGUGGGGAAUAUUGCACAGUGGGCGGAAGCCUGAUGCAGCAACGCCGCGUGCGGGAUGACGGCCUUCGGGUUGUAAACCGCUUUCGCCUGUGACGAAGCGUGAGUGACGGUAAUGGGUAAAGAAGCACCGGCUAACUACGUG